RNAcentral lists this transfer RNA (76 nucleotides) under Bacillota bacterium. RNAcentral's name for it is "tRNA-Asp". It matches the Rfam family "tRNA". Rfam says of the family: Transfer RNA (tRNA) molecules are approximately 80 nucleotides in length. The record is from RNAcentral. Lineage: Bacteria; Bacillati; Bacillota.
GGUUCCGUGGUGUAGUGGUUAUCACGCCUGCCUGUCACGCAGGAGAUCGUGGGUUCGAGCCCCAUCGGAACCGCCA